GAUGAACGCUGGCGGCGUGCUUAAUACAUGCAAGUCGAGCGAACAGACGCUGCGCUUGCUCCUCUCUCGUUAGCCGCGCACGUGUGUGUAACACGUGGAUCAUCCCCCUAUCAGUCUGGGAUCACCUCGGGACUCCGGCGCUAAUCCCGGAUAAUAUCUUGCACCACAUGGUUCAAUAGUAAAAGACGGUUUUGCUGUCACUUAUCGAUGCUUCUGCGCCGCAUUAGCUAGUUGUUAAGGUAAAGGCUUACCAAGGCAACGAGGCGUAGCCGACCUGAGAGGGGGAUCGGCGACACGGGAACUGAGACACGGUCCAGACUCCUACGGGAGGCAGCAGUAGGGAAUCUUACGCAAUGGGCGAAAGCUUGACGGAGCAACGCCGCGUGAGUGAUGAAGGUCUUCGGAUCGUAAAACUCUGUUAUUAGGGAAGAACAAAUGUGGAAGUAACUAAGCACGUCUUGACGGUACCUAAUCAGAAAGCCACGGCUAACUACGUG
RNAcentral lists this ribosomal RNA (497 nucleotides) under uncultured bacterium. RNAcentral's name for it is "partial 16S ribosomal RNA". It matches the Rfam family "Bacterial small subunit ribosomal RNA", at positions 28 to 507 of the family's 1533-position model. The record is from RNAcentral.